This 219-nucleotide ribosomal RNA is filed under the name uncultured bacterium. RNAcentral describes it as "partial 16S ribosomal RNA". It matches the Rfam family "Bacterial small subunit ribosomal RNA", at positions 328 to 539 of the family's 1533-position model. The record is from RNAcentral.
ACGCUCGACACCUACGGGAGCAGCAGUGAGGAAUAUUGGUCAAUGGGCGCAGGCCUGAACCAGCCAAGUAGCGUGAAGGAUGACUGCCCUAUGGGUUGUAAACUUCUUUUAUAUGGGAAUAAAGUUUUCCUACGUGUGGAAUUUUGUUAUGUACCAUAUGAAUAAGGAUCGGCUAACUCCGUUCCAGCAGCCGCGGUAAUCUGAGCGGGCUGGCAAGGC